This 255-nucleotide ribosomal RNA is filed under the name uncultured bacterium. Its description in RNAcentral is "partial small subunit ribosomal RNA". It matches the Rfam family "Bacterial small subunit ribosomal RNA", at positions 26 to 285 of the family's 1533-position model. The record is from RNAcentral.
AGGACGAACGCUGGCGGCGUGCUUAACACAUGCAAGUCGAGCGGAAAGGCCCUUCGGGGUACUCGAGCGGCGAACGGGUGAGUAACACGUGAGCAACCUGCCCUUAGCUUCGGGAUAGCUCCGGGAAACCGGAAUUAAAUACCGAAUAUGACUGCGGCUGACAUCAGCCACGGUGGAAAGUUUUUCGGCUAGGGAUGGACUCGCGGCCUAUCAGCUUGUUGGUGAGGUAACGGCUCACCAAGGCGACGACGGGUA